Molecule: long non-coding RNA, 570 nt
Organism: Cebus imitator (Panamanian white-faced capuchin)
Lineage: Eukaryota; Metazoa; Chordata; Mammalia; Primates; Cebidae
Exons: 5
Source: RefSeq, a predicted model, not a curated record
GCCGCUCGGUAAAAUCAGCAAAGGAAAAAAGUUUUGCUUCCAACAAGGAAAGCAAGAUUUCCUGUUUCCAUGAUGAUGGAAGGCAGGUAAUUCCUUUAUGGAGUUUGAGCUCGCUUCUGACAUGGAAGAUGAGAUUUUUUUCCCCCUGCUUCUAGGAAGGUAGAGAGUGGUCUACAGCCUGAGACUCAUCCCUAGGUUUUUGCAUUUAUAAGAACCAGAUAGCCCCACCUGGACCUACCAACCAGUUCUGUGGCCCCCACCUGGGAACUGACUCAACAGAGUCAAGAAGACUUUUAAUCUAUUUACAGCUUUCAACAAUUGAGUAAAGUAUACUCCUUUGAACAAAAUUUGGAGCAUACUUGUUUCUACCUGAUUUCUACAGAAUUUGAAAACUAUUUGAUAUGAGACUUCACAGCCUGCUAAAAAUGAGCUCUCUUAAUAACCCGUCUAGGAAUAAACCAUCCUAACCAUGAGAGAUCAGACAAAAUGUGAGACCAGAGACUCAUUUUCUUCUAAAAUGCUUUCUCCAAAAGAUUUUUUAAAAGAAAAAGGGGGAAAUGUGAAAGGAAA